RNAcentral lists this unclassified non-coding RNA (1509 nucleotides) under uncultured fungus. RNAcentral's name for it is "sequence contains 18S rRNA gene, ITS1, 5.8S rRNA gene, ITS2, 28S rRNA gene". The stretch from base 567 to 1509 matches the Rfam family "Eukaryotic large subunit ribosomal RNA", at positions 1 to 961 of the family's 3401-position model. Lineage: Eukaryota; Fungi. The record is from RNAcentral.
GGUUGGAUCAUUACUGAUUUCUGCCGAGGUAGGUCGAGUCUCUCGGGACUCCCUGCCGGAGCGAUACACCACUUGUGCACCAUAAUGUCUUUUGGGUCAUGGAAGUCGAUUGGCAACCGUGGCCCAGCUUUAUAAACCAAUUAAUUUUUUGUCUGAAAUAAUCUAGUAAUAGAAACAACUUUUGACAACGGAUCUCUUGGCUCUCGCAACGAUGAAGAACGCAGCGAAAUGCGAUACGUAAUGUGAAUUGCUUUCCGUGAAUCAUCGAAUCUUUGAACGCACAUUGCACUCUUUUAGAGUAUGCCUGUUUGAGAAUCUAUAGUAUUUAUUUUUGUCUAUAUUUUUUAGGAAGUAUAGGUAAAAGAUAUGGGGUUUCCCUCGCAAGGGGGUACUCUGAAAUAGAUUGCCUCUGUUUUGAUAGACUCGACGAAGUUUUUCAAUCCUGCAGAAAAGUAUUUGAAUGGAACUGUGGUUUCUCAAUAUGCUGAAUAUGUGGGGGAAAGAUGGAGAAUCUAUUUGGCAGAUGUCCAUACCCUAUAAGUCGGUCUUAGGAUCGGCUUGAACCAUGGUCUCAAAUCAGGUAGGAAGACCCGCUGAACUUAAGCAUAUCAAUAAGCGGAGGAAAAGAAACUAACAAGGAUUCCCCUAGUAACGGCGAGUGAAGCGGGAACAGCUCAAAUUUGAAAUCUCCUUCGGGCGAAUUGUAGUUUAGAGAAGCGUUUUCUGAUGGCGGAUAGGUACAAGUUCUUUGGAACAAGACAUCAUAGAGGGUGAAAAUCCCGUCUUUGACCUAUCUCAAGUCUAUGUGAUACGUUUUCCAAGAGUCGGUUUGUUUGGGAAUGCAGACCAAAAUGGGAGGUAAAUACCUUCUAAAGCUAAAUAUUGGCGAGAGACCGAUAGCGAACAAGUACCGUGAGGGAAAGAUGAAAAGAACUUUGAAAAGAGAGUUAAACAGUACGUGAAAUUGUCAAAAGGGAAACGUUUGAAACCAGUAUUGCUGGCGAGAAUUCAGCUCCCAUUUAUGGUAGUGUACUUUCUCGUUAGCGAGUCAACAUCAGUUUGACUUGGAGCAAAAAGCCAUGGAAAGGUAGCCCUUUGGGUGUUAUAGUCCAUGGUCAUACUCUAGGUUGGACUGAGGACUGCAGCGUUUUUGCCUUUGGGACACCAGCGCUUAGGAUGUUGACGAAAUGGUUUUAAGCGACCCGUCUUGAAACACGGACCAAGGAGUCUAACAUAUAUGCGAGUAUUUGGGUGGUAAACCCUUAUGCGUAAUGAAAGUGAAAAGGUGGGAUCCAAUAGGUGCACCAUCGACCGCGCCAGAUUAUUACUAUCUCGGCGUGAGUAUGAGCAUACAUGCUGGGACCCGAAAGAUGGUGAACUAUGCCUGAAUAGGGUGAAGCCAGAGGAAACUCUGGUGGAGGCUCGUAGAGAUUCUGACGUGCAAAUCGAUCUUCAAAUUUGGGUAUAGGGGCGAAAGACUAAUCGAACCAUCUAGUAGCUGGUUCCCUC